GGGACGUUAGCUCAGCUGGUAGAGCAGCGGACUUUUAAUCCGUUGGUCACUGGUUCGAAUCCAGUACGUCCUACCA
Molecule: transfer RNA, 76 nt
Filed under: Burkholderiales bacterium
Lineage: Bacteria; Pseudomonadati; Pseudomonadota; Betaproteobacteria; Burkholderiales
Also listed under: 1 other name
Description: tRNA-Lys
Rfam family: tRNA
About the family: Transfer RNA (tRNA) molecules are approximately 80 nucleotides in length. Their secondary structure includes four short double-helical elements and three loops (D, anti-codon, and T loops).
Source: RNAcentral